CACACACGCACGCACUAAACACACUCUUUAUUCUUCUCAGGUGAUGUUUGGAUUUUUAACCUAGAAACUAAUCAUUGGAUGAAGAUGAAGCACAAGCACACACACAGGCCACGGCUGUGGCACACGGCGAGCGCAGGAGCAGACGCAGAUGUGGUUGUGUUUGGAGGAAGUGGUGAUAAUAUCCUGCUGAUGGACACGUGAUGUGCUGGUCUUUCAGACUCAGCCGCAUCCUCUGUCUCGGUUGUGUCAGGACUGCAUCUCUCUCCACAUCAGUGUGUCCCAGACUCUCCUCCUGCCGCUGAGACUGCGCCGCCGCCUGCAGAACAGAACACAGCGCACACCUGCACACACACCUGCACUGCAGUAACACAUCUGCACAUACACACACACACACACCUGCACUGAAGUAACACACCUUCAAACACACACACCUGCACUGAAGUAACACCUGCACACACCUGCACUGCAGUAACACACACCUGCACUGCACUAUGCUCUAGGAAAUUGAAGAUUUAGUCACUGCCGGUGAUCAGCUCACUGACUGCUGAGUGUGUGUGUGCGUGUGUGUGUGCGUGUGUGUGUGCGCGCGUGCGUGUGUGUGUGUAGAAAAAACUGAAUGAAAACAAUAAAAUGAUUAUGAUCAAUAUAAACUGCUCUCCAUCUGCUGCUGUUACACUCAGCUGUGUGUGUGUGUUCUGCAGUGUGUGUGUUCUGC
Danio rerio (zebrafish) is the source of this 715-nucleotide non-coding RNA. Lineage: Eukaryota; Metazoa; Chordata; Actinopteri; Cypriniformes; Danionidae. The record is from RefSeq and is a predicted model, not a curated record.